AACUAGCAUCUCGAGUGGCAGCCACAUUUACUGGGCUUAGAGCGUCCGUAGCUCGUUCAGAAAGUCCCCGGUGAAAUCCUACGGCUUAACCGUAGGGCUUGCCAGGGAAACUCCUGGACUUGAAGGCAGGAGAGGUCAGGGGUACUUCUGGGGUAGGGGUGAAAUCCUAUAAUCCUAGAAGGACCAACAGUGGCGAAGGCGCCUGACGUGAAUGCGCUUGACAGUGAGGGACGAGAGCCAGGGUC
Molecule: ribosomal RNA, 245 nt
Filed under: uncultured archaeon
Lineage: Archaea
Description: partial 16S ribosomal RNA
Rfam family: Archaeal small subunit ribosomal RNA
Source: RNAcentral